Molecule: long non-coding RNA, 207 nt
Filed under: Mytilus galloprovincialis (Mediterranean mussel)
Lineage: Eukaryota; Metazoa; Mollusca; Bivalvia; Mytilida; Mytilidae
Source: RNAcentral
CACGGGCGGACGAACGGACGGAGGCACAGACCAGAAAACAUAAUGCCCCUCUACUAUCGUAGGUGGGGCAUAAAAACUGCUAUCUUUAUAACGCCCAAGUUUCGCCUUAGUUGUUAAAAAAAUAAUGAUCUGAAUAAAAUCGAGAAUGGAACUUUACAAAAUUCAGAUAUCCAAAAUCUGAAUUCCAUAUAUACAUUUCAUAAUUAG